Long non-coding RNA from Silurus meridionalis, 538 nucleotides. RefSeq lists it as uncharacterized. Lineage: Eukaryota; Metazoa; Chordata; Actinopteri; Siluriformes; Siluridae. The transcript has 4 exons. The record is from RefSeq and is a predicted model, not a curated record.
GUGUGUGUGUGUGUGUGUGUGUGUGUGUGUGUGUGUGUGUGUGUGUGUGUGUGUGUUGGCUGUUGUGGUGGAACAGAAGGUCUCUGCAGGUCCGGUGUGUGGGUGGACUCUGGGAUUCACCGUGAAAACAAUCUGCAGCCAAGGACACCUCAAAGCAGGGAUUCAGAGAAGUUUAGAUUUGGAACAAGGCUACAUCCUAUUCCAUAACGCUUUCAGCCAAGAUUGAGCACAAAUCAUACGUCGUCCUCCUGCUUCUCGCUGCACCUGCUCUCACGUUCUCUCUGCCAACUCUGUGAUGUCAUUCUCUGGAACGAGGUGUGUUGGCUCCCACGGCCGGAACCUGCAACAAGAUGGUGGGAUGAGAUCAUCAACGCCCCAUCAGGACUCUUUACAUCGCACAAAGUCAACAAACUUAUCAACAUGGUAAAUAAUGUUAAAAAGCGAAUGCAGGAAGCCGCAGCAUUGUGAAUUCCCUGAAUUUAUCUCCAACAUGAACAUUUUUGUGUUUCUUCUGCAUCCUGCGGUUCCUCAUCCAAAC